GUUUGUUAUAACUAGCUGUGCUAGCCAUCAAAGAUGGGUUGAAAUCCAUGUAAUAUACAUAGAGCUUGUUUUUUUUAUUUGUUACAUAGGUUGCCCAUUUAGUCUGGUCUAAUAACACAUGCCUGAUCCCUUUCUCUCAAGGCAACCUUUUCCUCUGUGGGUAGAGCUGACCAUUUUGGCUGCUUCCUCUCUGUAUCAAUCAUUGAACUGACCACUCUUGUAGUCACACUGUUUUGCUGGGAAAAUGCAGUGGUGGUCGGUACCACAUUGGCCUGGUUUAGCGACCCUAGCCUAGUCAUGUUGGGGCUUUGGGUUCACAAUGUGUGCAACAAUUUAUCAUUAUCUUCAUGUGAUGGGUAAUGGGUAAGUGAAAAUAUGUCAUUAGCAUUAGAGCUAUAAACCUCAUUCACAUGGCUAAAACGAGUCCAACAAAGUUACUACCAUGCUGCCAACAUAUAAUCCUGCACAGAAGAAUGGGCCAAUAACACUGAAUUUUCUUAUUUUUAGUCCUUUGUUCUUGUUUUUUAAUCUUUAUUCUACAUGUUUUGCCUAUUUUUUUAUUUUUCUUCCUAACCCUAGCAACUGGACAGGCACACAGAUAGGCAGAAUUAUAAACAGUCACUUUUUCUUUUGUUAAGCUAUAUAUUUAUUGAGCUUCUAUAAAAAAAAAAAAAACUAAAUUUGCCUAAAGUGCUCUCUCUGCAUCUUUCACUCAUGUAAAGUAACUAUUUUAUGUGCCCUUGUGUUCUUAUUGAAGAAAUCAUUUCAUAUUAUAACUACACCCAUCAUACUUAUUCCUUUCACUAUUCUGAAUAUUUCUGCCAUGUCUUCUUUGAAUCUGCAGUUUUCUGAAAACUGAAAACGUUAAUCUACAAUUUUUGUUCAUUUCCCCGCAGUCCUACAAUAAGUCUUUUUUGGAGUUUCGAUAGUGCAGUCAUUUCUAUAAUAAACCACCCAGGUGUCCAUAGUAUUUGAGUGGGCGGUACAUUAAAACCUACCUAUAAUUCUGUGUGGAGGUCAGGGGUACAGGAACAUCUCAGGUUGCUAGGAAACAGCAUGACUUUGACUCCAGUUAGUGUAUCAAAAGUAUUGGCUAGGUAAGGCUUGACUUUGAGAAGAAGAGGAGAAAACUCACAGAUAAAAAUGAAUUUUGAUGAGGGUCAAUCAGAGCAAUGGGUGUCAAAGCUUAGAAAUUUGACUGUGAAUUAUUAUUGUGUAUGUGUUGAUACCUUAGAGUGUGUGCAGCUUGUGCACAUACUAGAAGAAAAGUUCGCCUGAGGUUUGAAGUCAGCAAUUACAUCAAAAGUUAGCCCAUAUCAGUGAUUAUUCCUAGAUACUGUACUUGUAUUGCUUCAUUAUGUCCACAAUCUCCCCUUUUAUUACUAUUGAAAGAGUGGAGGGAGGAGAACACAUACAAUCUACAGCCAUAUAUUUGGUCUUUGAGAUAUUUAGCAGUAUUGAACAAACUCAUUGAGUCCAUGGCUGUUGUCCUUAUCUCACAGACUCACAAUAAUAGUGUCACCUGUAAAUUUAAACAUGUAUGCUUAUUCCUAAGUGAGCUCCUGUAGUAAUUUGUAUACAAAAUAAAAGAAAAUGAGAUAGUCAGCAGCCUUGAAGUGAUCCAAUGAAUAAAAUGAAGAUAUCAGAAAAAAGUACCAUUAGCACUCAUUCUUUGCAUUAUUUAACCUACAAAGUUCACUAUUCACCUCACUAAGUUCAAACAGAAUUUAUCAGUUUGUGAACUGUAAUUGAAUUGUAUUAAAAUCAGAUGAGAAAUCAAUAUAAAAAAAUCUGUAUUGAGUUUUCGGCCCUUUCAAGCCCUCUUACCGCAGAUUUAGAUGUGUUGCUGUGGGAUCCUCCACCAUCUUCAUUGCUCUGUAUGCAAAUUGGCUAUGGACCAGACAGACUGGGCUUCUUUUGACAGUUUCCUCUCUCUUAAUCAGCUUCUCAGAGGAUUUUGUGAUGAAGGUUUUGAUUAUCUGGUUUUUCCUGUUGGAUUAACAUUUCCCUGUUUUCAGAAUUUGGGCACCUGUUGUAAAUCCAGAGACAUCUCAGAUAUACUGGUAUUAUAUCAGUUGUGCCACACAGGAUGGAAGCAGGUGUCAAUUUAUUCUGUCUGGGCCACAGCUUUCAAAUUUUAAUUUUUGUCAAAGAAGGGCUGACCCCUAACUCCAGUCUUGAGUUUGUUCUUCUGUUGAAGAUAAGGAUCAGCUGUAUUCCAAAGAGUCAAACAUAUCUCAUUAUAAAAAUCAGUAAAGCAGAUUGCGCCUCCGCAAUUUUUUCAGUUACUUUUGAACACCUCCAAAGUUUCCUUCUUCCCUGGUUUAUUACUGAAUUAACAAUACCUACGUACUGUUUAGACUUAGAUUCAUCCAUGUUACAUAGUAUAUCGGACAACAAGCGUUCUCCAACAUUUCUUGUCUUUAGUAAAGUUUUUUUUAACCAGCAUUUUUCUCCAAGUUUUCCACAGAUGUCCUUUUGGCUGUUUGGUGUUGAGAGGUGCCCAUGUCAUUGCCGUCUUUGGGAUCCAAUGAUUCUCCAUUCGAAGGAUGUGGCUGGCAAAUCGGAGUCUUCUGCGGGCGAUGAUGAUGUGGAGUUUGCACAAGCCACUUCCUCGCAAAACCUCUUUGUGAUGUGAUUGUAGUAUCAGAACUUGAAAAUUCAUUGUAGACACCUCUGCUGGAAGACAUCAAGCUUCUUGUUGAUACUUGUCAACGCCUUCCAUGUUUCAUUGGCAUAAAUGGCUAAAGGAAUCACAAUACGGCAAUGUUAAGGACGUAUCAAGAAUAGACUACCAUUGGUGAAAAUGCUGAGCUUGGCCCUUGCAACUCUAAACUGAAUAAAGUGGAAGUCUAAAAUUGUUUGAUGGAUGGAAGCUUUCAAUAGAAGGGGUAGGAUGCAACUGAAGGAUAACUGAAGAGGAAGGUCUGUUGUAUGCCUAAUGAAAAUCGGAAUCCAAAGAUGCAAGAAGUAGAAUGGUGUUGCAGUACUGUUCCUUCAUGCAUCCAUUGUCCUGAGAUGAAAUUCCAUCCUCAUGCAGGAUUUGGAAUCCCUAUUCAACUGGAAAUGACUGAGACAUCUGAAAUUUAGGGGAAGACCUUUAUAAAGGAUCAUUUUGGGGAACCAGCUCCUACAACUUCAGGUAGCCACAUUCAUGGAUUCAAGUGAGCUACAUCAAACUUUAAAUAACAUCUUCAGGCGAAGGAAUUAUCCUGAGAUUCUCAGUGACAAAACUACCCUCACCACCAAAAGCUCAAUUCAGUCUGGACAGAAUGAUUUGCUUGACCUCACUACAAAAUUGCCAGCCAACAACCAUCAUCUGUUGUACCUUACAGAUAGCAUUGUAGACUUAAUUGUUAAUGGGAUGGGUCUUCGGUCAACCAUUGAAGACAGGGACUUUUGCAAGAUUCUGCAAUUGGCUGAGCCUCAUUUUACAAUACCAAGCCACAAGCACUUGCGUCAAUUCAUUCAUCGGUUGAGAAACGCCUGACUCAGUUUGAAAAUAUGCAGUGGUUUCAGUUGGCUGCAACCCUGGACCCAGGAUUUAAACUUGACCGGUGCAUGGGUGGAGAAAGACAAAACAUCAAAGACAUUGUAACAAAGAGGGUUCCUUCAAUCUCUUCACCAAAAGCAGCAACUACAAAGGAUUGAUAUUCACCACAAAAAAAAGAACAAAACGUUCUAUAUUUAUGGACACCCAAGUCCAUUCUACAACUACAGAGUAACCAGCAUCAGAGGAUGUACUAAGUUGCCUAAACCUACUGUGCCAUACUAAGGAGUUUGAUCCUCUCCUGUCCUGGAAGGGCAACCAGAACUGAUUCUCGUAUUUGCCUCAAAUUGCUUGUCAGUAUCUAGCUAUUCCUGCCUCAUCUGCUCGUGUGGAACGUGUUUUCAGUAUUUGCUGGCAAGGUAUUUAGGCCUGAGAGAUGCAAUCUUAGUUAUGAAAAAAUUUAAGGAAAUGAUGAUUGUUUGAUGCAAUAAAAUCUUAAUAUAUGUGAAUGAAAUACAUGAAUGAACAUGACUCAUUUUUUAUGGUUUGAGACAUAUAUCAUGUGGUAGCAUUUAUCUAUUUGAACUGGCAAUCAUAUAUGUGAGGUUUCUGAACUCUUUUAGGACCCUCCACCCCCCAACGUGAUGACAUGCCGAUGCGCGACUGCCACAUCUGUGGAGAACUGCUUGUCCAUUGCCGAGACUACCACAGGUUUGAAGCGCAGCAGCAGAGCACCGUGGAAACAACUAUGCGCCAAUCGUAUUAUAAAUGCAGGGAACAGUAAAACUUGGCCACUGA
Long non-coding RNA from Polypterus senegalus (gray bichir), 4288 nucleotides. RefSeq lists it as uncharacterized. NCBI's taxonomy places the organism in Eukaryota, Metazoa, Chordata, Cladistia, Polypteriformes, Polypteridae. The record is from RefSeq and is a predicted model, not a curated record. The transcript has 5 exons.